Small nucleolar RNA from Andrographis paniculata, 81 nucleotides. The record is from RefSeq and is a predicted model, not a curated record. Lineage: Eukaryota; Viridiplantae; Streptophyta; Magnoliopsida; Lamiales; Acanthaceae.
CAGUAUGAUGAAAAACUGCAGAUCCAUUACCAGACUGAGCAGAAAAGGAUGGAGAGAAAGCACGUCCUGUACUGUCAGCGA